UGCUCGCGCAUCGAACUACAUACCACCUAUCCUUCUCAGUUUCCCAACGAGCAAUUUUUUGCUCGUUGACUAGAACAAGGGCCUGUGUUGCGUACCUAACCAAAGGAAUUGUUGAGUUUUGCCUCCAACAUUGGUUGCGGCAUCUCCUUCGAUGGGGAAGCCGUGAUCACACAAGUCGGCACUUGUCAUCCUUGCCGCUUGGCAUUAAAUGCCUCGUUUGCAUAGGCGGAUAAGCUGUCGGUCGAAAUCUCGGAUGCGGAACGGUUAUGGUUGGUGACUCGAAGCAAUUCAGUCCCACCGAAUCAUGUUUGCCCCUUUGGCAAAAGAUGACGGCCAAGUCUUCGCCUGUUCUUGCUAACCCAGCGUUUGCGAGAAUUAGUCGGGGACUUGCCGUGAUUUAUGAAUGCUACCUGGU
RNAcentral lists this unclassified non-coding RNA (415 nucleotides) under Hilliella fumarioides. RNAcentral describes it as "partial miscellaneous RNA". Lineage: Eukaryota; Viridiplantae; Streptophyta; Magnoliopsida; Brassicales; Brassicaceae. The record is from RNAcentral.